CGGUGAAUACGUUCCCGGACCUUGCACACACCGCCCGUCAAGCCAUGGAAGCUGGGUGUACCUAAAGUCGGUAACCGUAAGGAGACCGCCUAGGGUAAAACUAGUGACUGGGGCU
Molecule: ribosomal RNA, 115 nt
Filed under: uncultured bacterium
Lineage: Bacteria
Description: partial 16S ribosomal RNA
Rfam family: Bacterial small subunit ribosomal RNA
Source: RNAcentral